CAACGCCCUUAUGUGCCCCCACAGCCAUGUUAGGGACAGGAGGAGAACCUCAUCCUAACAUGAGCAAAGUCGAAGGCCUGAUUCUCCUUAGACCGGAUGGGGAGAGAGGCCCUGCAACGCCCAUAUGUGCCCCCACAGUCCUGCUAGAAAUAGGAGGAGAACCUCAUCCUAACUUGAGCUGAAAUCGACUACAUCAGGAACAAAAGGAGAACCUCAUCCUGACGCUAACUAAGAUCCGGUCAUUCAAGACCAGAUAAGAAAAAAGAAAACCUUCUCGACGGCCCCUCCA
This 289-nucleotide long non-coding RNA is filed under the name Elaeis guineensis (African oil palm). RNAcentral's name for it is "long non-coding RNA (EGUI_LNC032077)". Lineage: Eukaryota; Viridiplantae; Streptophyta; Magnoliopsida; Arecales; Arecaceae. The record is from RNAcentral.